RNAcentral lists this ribosomal RNA (468 nucleotides) under uncultured bacterium. RNAcentral's name for it is "partial 16S ribosomal RNA". It matches the Rfam family "Bacterial small subunit ribosomal RNA", at positions 28 to 507 of the family's 1533-position model. The record is from RNAcentral.
GACGAACGCUGGCGGCGUGCUUAACACAUGCAAGUCGAACGGAAAGGCCCUGCUUUUGUGGGGUGCUCGAGUGGCGAACGGGUGAGUAACACGUGAGUAACCUGCCCUUGACUUUGGGAUAACUUCAGGAAACUGGGGCUAAUAUCGGAUAUGAGCUCCUGCUGCAUGGUGGGGGUUGGAAAGUUUCGGCGGUUGGGGAUGGACUCGCGGCUUAUCAGCUUGUUGGUGGGGUAGUGGCUUACCAAGGCUUUGACGGGUAGCCGGCCUGAGAGGGUGACCGGCCACAUGGGGACUGGGGUACGGACCAGACUCCUACGGGAGGCAGUAGUGGAGAAUAUUGCGCAAUGGGCGGAAGCCUGAUGCAAAAACGCCGCGUGCGGGAUGACGGCCUUCGGGUUGUAAACCGCUUUCGCCUGUGACGAAGCGUGAGUGACGGUAAUGGGUAAAGAAGCACCGGCUAACUACGUG